RNAcentral lists this ribosomal RNA (433 nucleotides) under uncultured bacterium. RNAcentral's name for it is "partial 16S ribosomal RNA". It matches the Rfam family "Bacterial small subunit ribosomal RNA", at positions 29 to 507 of the family's 1533-position model. The record is from RNAcentral.
AACGAACGCUGGCGGCAUGCCUAACACAUGCAAGUCGAACGAGACCUUCGGGUCUAGUGGCGCACGGGUGCGUAACGCGUGGGAACCUGCCCUUAGGUUCGGAAUAACUCCCCGAAAGGGGUGCUAAUACCGGAUAAUGUCUUCGGACCAAAGAUUUAUCGCCUUUGGAUGGGCCCGCGUUGGAUUAGCUAGUUGGUAGGGUAAAAGCCUACCAAGGCGACGAUCCAUAGCUGGUCUGAGAGGAUGAUCAGCCACACUGGGACUGAGAAACGGCCCAGACUCCUACGGGAGGCAGCAGUGGGGAAUAUUGGACAAUGGGCGAAAGCCUGAUCCAGCAAUGCCGCGUGAGUGAUGAAGGCCUGAGGGUUGUAAAGCUCUUUUACCCGGGAUGAUAAUGACAGUACCGGGAGAAUAAGCUCCGGCUAACUCCGUG